GAUGAACGCUGGCGGCGUGCCUAAUACAUGCAAGUCGAGCGAACAGACGAGGAGCUUGCUCCUCUGACGUUAGCGGCGGACGGGUGAGUAACACGUGGAUAACCUACCUAUAAGACUGGGAUAACUUCGGGAAACCGGAGCUAAUACCGGAUAAUAUAUUGAACCGCAUGGUUCAAUAGUGAAAGACGGUUUUGCUGUCACUUAUAGAUGGAUCCGCGCCGCAUUAGCUAGUUGGUAAGGUAACGGCUUACCAAGGCAACGAUGCGUAGCCGACCUGAGAGGGUGAUCGGCCACACUGGAACUGAGACACGGUCCAGACACCUACGGGAGGCAGCAGUAGGGAAUCUUCCGCAAUGGGCGAAAGCUUGACGGAGCAACGCCGCGUGAGUGAUGAAGGUCUUCGGAUCGUAAAACUCUGUUAUUAGGGAAGAACAAAUGUGUAAGUAACUAUGCACGUCUUGACGGUACCUAAUCAGAAAGCCACGGCUAACUACGUG
Molecule: ribosomal RNA, 497 nt
Filed under: uncultured bacterium
Lineage: Bacteria
Description: partial 16S ribosomal RNA
Rfam family: Bacterial small subunit ribosomal RNA
Source: RNAcentral